This 1384-nucleotide long non-coding RNA is filed under the name Vulpes vulpes (red fox). RNAcentral's name for it is "lncRNA (ENSVVUG00000006794.1)". Lineage: Eukaryota; Metazoa; Chordata; Mammalia; Carnivora; Canidae. The record is from RNAcentral.
UGAGUCAUCCUAGGAAGGGGAGCAUCUUGAGGCCCCACUGUUGCAAUCUCGUCCUUGGGCGACGGGAGUAAUGUGACAACCUUGUGACCAGAGUUUGAUCAUUAAAAUGCACAACCUUGUGGGGCCCAGAGCUGCUAACGGAUGCCCCUCAUUCUGAAGGACUUCAGGGGUGAGCUUCACCGUGUGGGGACGAGACUCCACUGGGAAACACCGAAUGAUUUAGCCAGAAGGUGGCCAACGUGGCAGCGGGAGGGCAGAGCGGAGAAGAUGGGAAGAAGCUGGUCCCCCAAAACACUGGGCCCUGAGGGAUGCCAGGUUCUAAGCAAUUUCCAGCAAAGAUGAAUUCUGACUUAACUAAUCGGGUGAAGAAGCAGGCUCGUGUGGACUCAUGUUCAUCCACAUCCUCCAGCGCUGAGUCCCGCACGCUGAAGGAGCCUAGAAUUUAUCUCGUUGCAAGUUCAACACCUGUCUUCGAAAUUAAGUUUAGAGCCAUUUAAAAUUGAAGGCAAUUUUCUGGUCUUCGUGUCAAUAGUAAUUGAGAAGCGAACCGUUGGGUAUGACGUUCUGCGUUCAUUUUGGCGGAAGUUCUAUUUACCCAGGUAGUAACCAAGAAUAUGGUAACAUCAUCAGGACUUGUGAGCUGCACGUGUAUGGCCGCCCUAAGCCUGUCCGUGUCAUUCCCCUUUUAUUCGACUUUAUCUACAUGAGUCCAUUUCUAGUCAAACUGGUCUGUUCAAACACAAUUUUAUUUCCUUUGGUAUUAAAGCUUAUGAUACCUUGCCUAAAAUCCCUUCCCCACUCCUUUUGUUCUGGAUCAUAUUCAUCCUGGCAUUUCUUCUUCUUCACUGUGAAGUCACUGGGCGCUCUUCCUUACUGUGAUAUCUUAUCUGAACUUCCUGAGAAGGCAUCGCCCAUAUCGCUCUUCCAGGACCUGCGAACAUCACCUUUAUUCCAGUCUAGAUCACACGGUCCACCCCUUACACCAGAAUGUUGUCGACAUCAUCAGCUUCCUUCUUGUGCGAAAUCACCCACCCAGUAGAAUGCCCAGCUUCAAUUCAUCUGACCAUCAACCACCUCCGCUACUGAAGUGCCCUGAUCAUCAGCACUGGGGUCUCCUGUCGCAACAAGGCACUGCCAUUUUUCCAUUUGACCCCAGUCACCCGCUUUGCCCACCCUGCCCUACAACCUGGCCAAAAUGUUUCCAUUCUCCUCUAGGUACUAGCUCCACCAAUACUCCUCUCACUCACGGGAGAGGUUCGCCUUCUAAUUCACAGAGAAAAUAGAGGCUGUUUGGCCCAUAAUAUCAGGCCUCCCUUCUCUGAAUAAGCCUAUUUAUUCCUAUGUUAUUGUUUUUCUUCAAUUCCAAUAUUCAUUGGAAUGUUUC